CAAAAACAUUGUAUUAAGUUUAAUUUAAUAUAGGAUCUGCUCAAUGAUUUAUUAAAUAGCUGCAGUAUUUUGACUGUGCAAAGGUAGCAUAAUAAUUAGUCUUUUAAUUGAGGACUUGUAUGAAAGAUUUGAUGAGAAAUAAACUUUAUUAUUUAUAUAAUUAAAAUUUUAUUUUUAAGUAAAAAAGCUUAAAUUAUUUAAAGGGACGAUAAGACCCUAUAAAACUUUAUAAAUAGUAAUUUUAAUUUUUUUGGAUUAAUAAAUAUUUUAAUUUUAUUAUUUAUUUUAUUGGGGUGAUAAAAAAAAUUAUUAAACUUUUUUUAAAAUUUUACAUUAUUUAGUGAAUAGUUGAAUUAAAAUUUUUAAUUAAAGGAAAAAGUUACUUUAGGGAUAACAGCGUAAUUAAUUUUUUAAGUUCAAAUUUAAAAAUUAGUUUGCGACCUCGAUGUUGAAUUAAGAUUAAUCUUAGGUGCAAAAUUUUAAGUAUUAGGUCUGUUCGACCUUUAAAUUCUUACGUGAUCUGAGUUCAAACCGGA
RNAcentral lists this ribosomal RNA (536 nucleotides) under Acyrthosiphon pisum (pea aphid). Its description in RNAcentral is "partial large subunit ribosomal RNA". The stretch from base 390 to 536 matches the Rfam family "Bacterial large subunit ribosomal RNA", at positions 2473 to 2620 of the family's 2925-position model. The record is from RNAcentral. Lineage: Eukaryota; Metazoa; Arthropoda; Insecta; Hemiptera; Aphididae.